This 450-nucleotide ribosomal RNA is filed under the name uncultured bacterium. Its description in RNAcentral is "partial 16S ribosomal RNA". It matches the Rfam family "Bacterial small subunit ribosomal RNA", at positions 354 to 796 of the family's 1533-position model. The record is from RNAcentral.
GUGGGGAAUAUUGGACAAUGGGCGAAAGCCUGAUCCAGCCAUGCCGCGUGUGUGAAGAAGGUCUUCGGAUUGUAAAGCACUUUAAGUUGGGAGGAAGGGCAUUAACCUAAUACGUUAGUGUUUUGACGUUACCGACAGAAUAAGCACCGGCUAACUUCGUGCCAGCAGCCGCGGUAAUACGAAGGGUGCAAGCGUUAAUCGGAAUUACUGGGCGUAAAGCGCGCGUAGGUGGUUCGUUAAGUUGGAUGUGAAAGCCCCGGGAUCAACCUGGGAACUGCUUUCAAAACUGCUGAGCUAGAGUACGGUAGAGGGUGGUGGAAUUUCCUGUGUAGCGGUGAAAUGCGUAGAUAUAGGAAGGAACACCAGUGGCGAAGGCGACCACCUGGACUGAUACUGACACUGAGGUGCGAAAGCGUGGGGAGCAAACAGGAUUAGAUACCCUUGUAGUCC